UUGAACGCUGGCGGCAUGCCUUACACAUGCAAGUCGAACGGUAACGGGCCUUCGGGUGCCGACGAGUGGCGACCGGGUGAGUAAUACAUCGGAACGUGCCCGAUCGUGGGGGAUAACGAGGCGAAAGCUUUGCUAAUACCGCAUACGAUCUACGGAUGAAAGCAGGGGACCGCAAGGCCUUGCGCGGACGGAGCGGCCGGUGGCAGAUUAGGUAGUUGGUGGGAUAAAAGCUUACCAAGCCGACGAUCUGUAGCUGGUCUGAGAGGAUGAUCAGCCACACUGGGACUGAGACACGGCCCAGACUCCUACGGGAGGCAGCAGUGGGGAAUUUUGGACAAAGGGCGCAAGCCUGAUCCAGCCAUGCCGCGUGCAGGAUGAAGGCCUUCGGGUUGUAAACUGCUUUUGUACGGAACGAAAAGCCUUCUUUUAAUACAGGAGGGUCAUGACGGUACCGUAAGAAUAAGCACCGGCUAACUACGUG
This 481-nucleotide ribosomal RNA is filed under the name uncultured bacterium. RNAcentral describes it as "partial 16S ribosomal RNA". It matches the Rfam family "Bacterial small subunit ribosomal RNA", at positions 30 to 507 of the family's 1533-position model. The record is from RNAcentral.